GACUAACGCUGGCGGCGUGCCUAACACAUGCAAGUCGAACGAAGUAGCAAUACUUAGUGGCAGACGGGUGAGUAACGCGUAGACAAUGUGCCCUCUUGCGGGGGAUACCGUUCCGAAAGGAACGUUAAUACCGCAUAAAACGGCCUGGUGGCAUCACCGGACCGUCAAACUUCCGGGGCGGGAGGAGCAGUCUGCGUUCUAUCAGCUAGUUGGUGAGGUAAUGGCUCACCAAGGCUACGACGGAUAACUGGUCUGAGAGGAUGAUCAGUCACACUGGAACUGAGACACGGUCCAGACUCCUACGGGAGGCAGCAGUGAGGAAUAUUGCGCAAUGGGCGAAAGCCUGACGCAGCGACGCCGCGUGGAGGAAGAAGGCCUUCGGGUUGUAAACGUCCUAGUCAGUGGGGAAGAGAAUGGACGGUACCCGACGUGAGGAAGACUUCGGCGUAACUACGUGCCAGCAGCCGCGGU
This 471-nucleotide ribosomal RNA is filed under the name uncultured bacterium. RNAcentral's name for it is "bacterial SSU rRNA". It matches the Rfam family "Bacterial small subunit ribosomal RNA", at positions 28 to 521 of the family's 1533-position model. The record is from RNAcentral.